This 492-nucleotide ribosomal RNA is filed under the name uncultured bacterium. RNAcentral's name for it is "partial 16S ribosomal RNA". It matches the Rfam family "Bacterial small subunit ribosomal RNA", at positions 29 to 507 of the family's 1533-position model. The record is from RNAcentral.
AGUGAACGCUGGCGGUAGGCCUAACACAUGCAAGUCGAACGGCAGCACAGUAAGAGCUUGCUCUUACGGGUGGCGAGUGGCGGACGGGUGAGGAAUACAUCGGAAUCUACUUUUUCGUGGGGGAUAACGUAGGGAAACUUACGCUAAUACCGCAUACGACCUACGGGCGAAAGCAGGGGAUCUUCGGACCUUGCGCGAUUGAAUGAGCCGAUGUCGGAUUAGCUAGUUGGCGGGGUAAAGGCCCACCAAGGCGACGAUCCGUAGCCGGUCUGAGAGGCUGAUCAGCCACACUGGAACUGAGACACGGUCCAGACUCCUACGGGAGGAAGCAGUGGGGAAUAUUGGACAAUGGGCGCAAGCCUGAUCCAGCCAUACCGCGUGGGUGAAGAAGGCCUUCGGGUUGUAAAGCCCUUUUGUUGGGAAAGAAAAGCAGCAGGUUAAUACCCCGCUGUUCUGACGGUACCCAAAGAAUAAGCACCGGCUAACUUCGUG